UGUAACUCCAUCUUGACGAUCGCGGGUUGGUCCUCAUGAUCGGGACCUGGUCCUUGUGACAACGACUCCGGAGGAUCUUCAAAGUUUGGCGAUAGUGGUCAGGAGGCUUGCAAACGUGGUUGACACCUGAGCAGCCCAAAAACUGUACCUUGAGCUACGCUACUAAGCUUGAUUUUGGACCUUUGGAAGCACUCCGUGCACUUGAUAUUAACUUGCAUGAGCUC
RNAcentral lists this long non-coding RNA (224 nucleotides) under Nicotiana benthamiana. Its description in RNAcentral is "long non-coding RNA (NBEN_LNC000718)". Lineage: Eukaryota; Viridiplantae; Streptophyta; Magnoliopsida; Solanales; Solanaceae. The record is from RNAcentral.